AAGAAUUUAAAGAGUGCACUUCAUUGUGGCUCGACAUUUUCUACCAUUCACCCUAGUGCACCGUAAUACCUUUUUUUAUUAGACUCUACAAAGUUAAUGAAUGUAACACUUUUUUUAUAAAGAAGUAAAACUUUUAACAACGGAUCUCUUGGCUCUCGCAAGCGAUGAAGAACGCAGCGAAAUGCGAUAAGUAAUGUGAAUUGCAGAAUUCAGUGAAUCAUCGAAUCUUUGAACGCACCUUGCGCCCUUUGGUAUUCCGAAGGGCACACCUGUUUGAGUGUCAUUAAUUCCUCAACCCUACAAUUUUUUUCAUUAAUUUUGCCAGUGGUUGGAUGCUGAGCGCUGCUGGACUCCUUCAGUUCAGCUCGCUUUAAAUUGAUGAGCAGGCUCCUAUCUUUUCGGACUGACUCAACGUGAUAAGAAAUUUCGUUGAGGACGCUUCGCAGCGGCCGAACUGUAGGGUAAUGCCGCUACUAGUUGACCCUUAUAUUUUAGACCUCAAAUCAGGUGGGACUACCCGCUGAACUUAAGCAUAUCAAUAAGCGGAGG
This 549-nucleotide unclassified non-coding RNA is filed under the name soil metagenome. RNAcentral's name for it is "partial contains internal transcribed spacer 1, 5.8S ribosomal RNA, internal transcribed spacer 2, and large subunit ribosomal RNA". The stretch from base 129 to 283 matches the Rfam family "5.8S ribosomal RNA". The record is from RNAcentral.